RNAcentral lists this unclassified non-coding RNA (306 nucleotides) under plant metagenome. Its description in RNAcentral is "partial contains 5.8S ribosomal RNA, internal transcribed spacer 2, and large subunit ribosomal RNA". The stretch from base 1 to 105 matches the Rfam family "5.8S ribosomal RNA", at positions 50 to 154 of the family's 154-position model. The record is from RNAcentral.
GAAAUGCGAUAAGUAAUGUGAAUUGCAGAAUUCAGUGAAUCAUCGAAUCUUUGAACGCACAUUGCGCCCGCCAGUAUUCUGGCGGGCAUGCCUGUCCGAGCGUCAUUUCAACCAUCAAGCCCCCGGGCUUGUGUUGGGGACCUGCGGCUGCCCGCAGGCCCUGAAAACCAGUGGCGGGCUCGCUGUCACACCGAGCGUAGUAGCAAUCACCUCGCUCAGGGCGUGCUGCGGGUUCCGGCCGUUAAACAGCAUUACAAAACCCAAGGUUGACCUCGGAUCAGGUAGGAAGACCCGCUGAACUUAAGC